Molecule: long non-coding RNA, 617 nt
Filed under: Brassica napus (rape)
Lineage: Eukaryota; Viridiplantae; Streptophyta; Magnoliopsida; Brassicales; Brassicaceae
Description: long non-coding RNA (BNAP_LNC011971)
Source: RNAcentral
UAAGAUUUUACAUUUAUGUUAAUCACUAGUGGUUUGCCCGCGCUUAGCGCGGGAGUUUAAUGUUUUUAAAAUCAACAUUUUAACAACUAUUUCUAUAGAUCCUCUUUUUUUUCUUUGAAUAUCUCAACUUAAAAAAAAAAGACAGAUGCCAUUAGAACAUUUACAAAGAGAUGGUUGUAUAGACUAAUCUAAGAAGAAAGAAUAAAAAGAAUGAGUGUAGUAGUGUUUAGCCAGAACUGAGCUCAAACCAUCUUCUUCCAAAGGGUGGUCUCUUGUAUAACGAAGAGAAGAUUCGGUUAUAGAUCUUUGUUAUUUAUUCUAUCUCAUUACUUUCAUUUACUUUGUAAUAUGUGUUUGAUGAAAUUUUUUAUGUAGGCGUUUCUGGACUUCAAGUUAAGGAAAUGAUAUCCUAAGUGUGUAUAUUGUUUUGAAAUUGGAUUGUAUUCUUAUGUUGGGAUUAUGUUGUGAUCCGUUUUCAUAUUCAUGUUAUAAUUGUAUCUUUUUUUGUAUUCACAAAUUAAUGCUAUGUCGGUUUCUUGUACGUUUGUGGAGACUACAUACUUCUAACCAUUUUUCUUGACUUUACGUAAGCAUUUAGUUCAUAAUAGAGCUUCCUC